AGUCACUGACAUUAGAUACCCCUGUAGUCCAGGGUGUAAACGCUGCAGACUUGGUGUUGGAGGCCCUUUGGGGGCAUUCAGUGCCGGAGAGAAGUUGUUAAGUCUGCUACUUGGGGAGUACGUCCGCAAGGAUGAAACUUAAAGGAAUUGGCGGGGGAGCACCGCAACGGGAGGAGCGUGCGGUUUAAUUGGAUUCAACACCGUAAACUCACCAGGGAAGACUGUUACAUGAAGGCCGAGAUGAAGACUCUGCUAGAUUUUCAG
This 264-nucleotide ribosomal RNA is filed under the name uncultured archaeon. Its description in RNAcentral is "partial 16S ribosomal RNA". It matches the Rfam family "Archaeal small subunit ribosomal RNA", at positions 718 to 982 of the family's 1478-position model. The record is from RNAcentral.